UGAGGAAUAUUGGUCAAUGGGCGUGAGCCUGAACCAGCCAAGUCGCGUGAGGGAAGACGGUCCUAUGGAUUGUAAACCUCUUUUGCCGGGGAGCAAAAUCAUCCACGUGUGGAUGUUCGAGAGUACCCGGAGAAAAAGCAUCGGCUAACUCCGUGCCAGCAGCCGCGGUAAUACGGAGGAUGCGAGCGUUAUCCGGAUUUAUUGGGUUUAAAGGGUGCGCAGGCGGACUCUUAAGUCAGCGGUAAAAUCGUCAGGCUCAACCUGGCCGAGCCGUUGAAACUGGGAGCCUUGAGUGGGCGAGAAGUACGCGGAAUGCGUGGUGUAGCGGUGAAAUGCAUAGAUAUCACGCAGAACUCCGAUUGCGAAGGCAGCGUACCGGCGCCCGACUGACGCUCAUGCACGAAAGCGUGGGUAUCGAACAGG
This 423-nucleotide ribosomal RNA is filed under the name uncultured bacterium. RNAcentral's name for it is "bacterial SSU rRNA". It matches the Rfam family "Bacterial small subunit ribosomal RNA", at positions 355 to 776 of the family's 1533-position model. The record is from RNAcentral.